CCUACGGGAGGCUGCAGUGGGGAAUAUUGGGCAAUGGAGGCAACUCUGACCCAGCAACGCCGCGUGAAUGAUGAAGGUCUUCGGAGUGUAAAGUUCUUUUCUAAGGGAAGAAGAAAGUGACGGUACCUUAGGAAUAAGCCGCGGCUAACUACGUGCCAGGAGCAGCGGUAAUAAGUAGGAGGCAAGCGUUAUCCGGAAGGACUGGGUGUAAAGGGUGCGCAGGCGGAAGAUCAAGUCAACGGUAAAAUUGAGAGGCUCAACCUCUUCGAGCCGUUGAAACUGGUUUUCUUGAGUGAGCGAGAAGUAUGCGGAAUGCGUGGUGUAGCGGUGAAAUGCAUAGAUAUCACGCAGAACUCCGAUUGCGAAGGCAGCAUACCGGCGCUCAACUGACGCUCAUGCACGAAAGUGUGGGUAUCGAACAGGAUUAGAUACCCCAGUAGUC
RNAcentral lists this ribosomal RNA (442 nucleotides) under uncultured bacterium. Its description in RNAcentral is "partial 16S ribosomal RNA". It matches the Rfam family "Bacterial small subunit ribosomal RNA", at positions 338 to 795 of the family's 1533-position model. The record is from RNAcentral.